GACGAACGCUGGCGGCGUGCCUAAUACAUGCAAGUCGAGCGGUAAGGCCCUUCGGGGUACGACGAGCGGCGGACGGCUGAGUAACACGUAGGAACGUACCCCAAACUGAGGGAUAAGCACCAGAAAUGGUGUCUAAUACCGCAUGUGAUCUUCGGAUUAAAGCUCCGGCGGUUUGGGAACGGCCUGCGCAUGAUUAGCUAGUUGGUGAGGUAAUAGCUCACCAAGGCGACGAUCAUUAGCUGGUCUGAGAGGAUGACCAGCCAGACUGGAACUGAGAACGGUCCAGACUCCUACGGGAGGCAGCAGUAGGGAAUUUUCCACAAUGGGCGAAAGCCUGAUGGAGCAACGCCGCGUGCAGGAUGAAUGUCUUCGGAUUGUAAACUGCUUUUAUAUGUGACGAUAAUGACGGUAGCAUAUGAAUAAGGAUCGGCUAACUCCGUGCCAGCAGCCGCGGUAAGGUGCGCGAGU
RNAcentral lists this ribosomal RNA (468 nucleotides) under uncultured bacterium. RNAcentral describes it as "bacterial SSU rRNA". It matches the Rfam family "Bacterial small subunit ribosomal RNA", at positions 28 to 534 of the family's 1533-position model. The record is from RNAcentral.